GCUGGUCUGGUCUAGCUAGAACCCUCAAAAGGAGCAUGUGCUAAGUUAUAAACCCAGAAACAUGCAGCAGCUUAGCAGAAACCCUUCAGAGCCACAAGUCCUCCCAGUUUUGUAGAGGUGAUGUGGUGAGUCUCUUUAUUACUUUGCAAAGGAAGGUCUUUUUAUAUAUAAUAUUUUUAUUAGUUUUCAAUUACAGUCCAAUAAUAGCCUCAUUAUAAAGGAAGGUCUGGCACUCUUCACAUCACAAGGUUCUUGUGAGGCUUAAUUGUAUAUUAUUACUCACCACCCAAAGUUUUUAUAGGCACCUGCUUCCUUCCAGGUACCCAAGACUGCGUAGUUUCUUGACUGACAGCCCCCCAUUUUAGCAACCCCACCUUAAGUCCACAUCUUCUCUUGGAUUUCUUCAUUGCCUCUGAGGUUGUCCUAAGGUUCACUCUCAACCUCCAUCAUUUGCUGCUGCUGCUGCUGCUGCUGCUGCUGCUGCUGCUGCUGCUGUAUUUGCUGCUAUCACCCUUCACCUUAAAUGCAGGCAGGGUUUCCCCAGCCACUCUGGGCGGCUCAUAGCUGGGAUUAUAUUCUUUAGGAUCAUUUUUGUACCAAAGGGUGUUGCUUAGAGGACCCCUUCCCUGUUUGAAGGACUUUGCAUCUCAAGGGUAGAUCAAUAUCUUCUUGGAGUCUGUAACCUGAAGUGUAUGUAACCCGAGGUACUACUGUAGUACUGCAGAUUUUCUAGUUUCCCUCUUUCCUCUCAGCUCCUGUCGCCUUUUGUGCUGCGUCUCUCAGAUUCUAAGCCUUUCCUUUCUCUACAAAGAAGUAUAAACUUCCUAGAAAGCCUUGGCAGAAAAGUGGCCGAUAUACGGAGCAAGAAAACAAACCAAGUGCUGGGAAUAGUUCCUAAGCAGGUGCAUAUUCCGAAAAGCACAAGCUACGGCUGUGCAGAAUCGGUGUUUGAAAAUGAUGCCGACUUCAGCUGGAAAUAUUAAAACACUCUUUCAUGGAUGCCUGCAACCCUACAUCAGGCUUUCAAUCUUCCCCAGAGGGUCUUGGGGCGGGGGGAACCUCCAGUAACAAGCCUCGUAAUUCCGCUCUGCUUAUCUUCAGCCGUCUCGCCUUUAUUUAUUGAGGGACCUUCAGCACCUUUGUCUUUCUUCUUUUGCUUUUUUGCUUAGCCUUUCCUUCUUCAUCCUCCCACUGCCUCCCAUAAGAAAAAAAUUGCAUCAGUAUUUCAUCUCUUCAUCCACACUUAAGUGCCUUUGAUCUGAUGCUGUGCAAGGGUUAUUUAUUUGCCACUACCUCCAGGGGUUGGGUGGGAAGUCACCCAGGAAUAGAACAAUAGAGAUUUCACCCUUUCAUGAGUGUUUUGCUGCGCACAACCAUUUAUUUUCCCCUGAUUGUCUUUGCAUUUCAUUUUGAAACGGUCUCGACUGAACUUUACCAUUUCUGCAUAUUUGGCAUUCUUCUUUUCCCGCAAAGAUGAAACGGCUUCCCCUAAAUCUGUAUUGUUUUAUUAUUCAUCUCCCUUUGUGCUGGAGUAGCAGAAACAUGAUUACCUUUUGUCAGGCGGGCUUCAAGAUCUCUUUAAUUUUUAUUUCCUUCAAUGAGAGACCUCUGUUUGUAACGUUAAUGUUUUCCCAAUUACUUUUGAUCAUCGCUGAGAAGCAGCCUGGUUUUCCCUUUAUUCUAGUGCAGAGUCUCCAGCGCUGGAGACUACAUACAUAUUUUUGUGUUUAUUUGUUAAAUGUAUAUCCUGCCUGUCCUCCGCAGAAGGGGUGGAGAACCUCAGGUGUGAAGGUCAAAUGUGGCCCUCCAGGUCUCUUCCCCACCCCAUUCUCAUGCCUUCUCCAAAGGCCAUACCCUCACCUGCCUGCUUCACACCCUCCUUGAAUGUUUCUGCAUGACUGGAAUGACUGUCCGUCAACUCUGGUCAAGACUUUUGUUUGCCUCGAUUAAGGGGCAGCUGUGAGUGUGCAUUGCUGCUUUUGUUGUUGGCACCUGUCUGUCUUGAGAGACAAUGGAGUUGUCACCUCUGGGGGUGAAGUCAAACUUUUGUGUUAGCAGCACUGAAGAGACUUCCCCUGGGCAGUGUGUAUGGAGGUCCUGGGCUGCCCAGACAACAAGAUUCCUAUUUUGUGGUCCAAAGUAAAGUAGAGUAAUAUGUUUGGCACCAGCUUGGCUGCAGGAGUUGCCAGAAGGAAAUGUACAAGGUGUCAUCCAACCACCUUAGGGACUCCAGAUUUUUUUACUUGUUGCAGGAACCACCCCCCAAUCAUUCAGUUUGUACAAACACAACACACACACACACACACACACACACACACACACACACACCACAUACACAACGUUCCUGUUAUAAAUUCAUAGUAAAUCAACCAUACAUCGGAUUUACACCGGUCCACUUUUAUUUUACUCCAUGAAGGAAGGACUAUCAAAGGGGGGUGGUUUGAUACAGGACGGCCAUAAUCCCUUAACCAUACCAGCACAUACACAGGAGCCCUGCCCAGUUGGCAUGACAACCUUGAUGGUCCCAGACAGAAGAUGAUCCAGGUCACAAAGGACUUGCAUAUGGGAGUGGAUUCAACAUGGACUGGAACAAAGGACAAUGAUCAGAUCUUCCCUCUGGGGGCAGGAAACUGCCAACUCCCUUUUGUCCUCUGGAAAUGACUCAUGGGGAGGGGGAGAGGAGGAACCAGCCAGGUGACAAGAUAGUCAGGUUACCUCCACAACUCCUCCCUCAACCCCUCCCUUUUUGUGAUGUAGUUGUGAUGUAGUCUUAGGGGUGUAGUUUGGGGGAUUAGUAACUAAUAAAAGUUGGGGUCUUCUUUUGUUCUGGACUUCCAUUUUGCUUCAUCUUGGUGCGGGUGGGAGUCCUGUCGCGACAGUAUCCAAUAAAGGCCAAGCCUACAGGCUGCUGUUUUGCUCCAAGUUAUCCUGGUUGGUGUCUUUGUUUUUGUCCAAGGGAGCCCUCGGAUUUUUCCGUUAACAUACUCCUUAGCCUUUUCUUCUCCUGAAGAUACCCCUCAAGGUGGCAGACGUUUAGGAUCACAGUAGAUGACAUUAAUGGGGCCUCUCCUUGGUCUUCCUACCAUUAAACCCCAAGAAGAAGGAGAAGUAAACUAUCCGUUGGAACUUACUGAAGAAGAUGCUCCUUCAGAUACUUGGGCUUUGUAUAUUACUGCCAAUACCUUGAACUGGAACAUCACCUGCAGCCACUACAGUAUUUUUACUUUUACUGUAAGUAAUUUUUACCCACCCUUCACUCUAUGGUCCCAGUACUCUCAGUAUGUGCUCUUCUCUGACUGCUUUAUGGUCCAGUUCAAUGAUCUGGCCUAGUUUCAGCAUCAUCGUCCCCUGAACUAAGGAGACCCAUUUGACAUCAACACAAUACCAAGCCUUUGGUGUCAUUGUCUCACUCAUGUGAAACACUCUAUCGCAGAGAUCAGCAGGCACCGUUUGUCUCUCUCCUGACUCAAAUUCCCCUCCCUUCCUUCCCAAAUUCACAAAAUCUCCUCCCCAUUUUCACUGCUUGCAAAUCCGGCAGCAAAAUACAAUGUGCAAAGAAAGAUUUUAUUUAUUUUUUUGCAACAGCCUUGGCUUUUUUUUUUUUUAACAAUAAAAAUUGCUGUUUUCAUUAAGUGUUAUAUUUGAACAUUUUAAUUAUUACUUUGAAUUCUCUAUCUCAGGUACAUUUUGCCAAGCAAAGAGAAAUGAAUUCUUUAAUAGGAGCCCAUGAACGUCCUAAAUAAAUGCGUUAUCGACCACCACACAGUACAAAGAUCUAUGAUAACAUUUAAGUCCUGAAGAAUUAUGGGAUGAAUAAUAUGUAUAUCCCUCCCUCGGCUUCAGUUAUCAAGUGAUUAGCUGAGAAAAUUUUCUGUGAGAGAUUUGCCAUGUGAACAAGAGCCCCCAAAUUACUUAAACUAAUAAGUAUAUUAUUGCGAGACUCUCUAUAUUAUUUAAACAUUUCUGGUUACUGCUAGCAUGAUUUAUACAUUCAAUACGGAAAGUCUCGGAUGCUUUGCCUGCUAUAUUAUUAGUCUCUCUUGAUAAAACCUCUUUGCUUUCCUUCCAUCUCGAGGGAACCUAAUUUAAAUAUGAAUACACACACGCACAUAGAGAAAAAAAUAACAGUUGUUGAAACUGAAAUUAAUAAUGCCCUUUUUUAAGAAAGAGAAAGAUAAAACAAAAUUGAACAGUUCUCCCCCCCUCCUUUCUUUCUUUCUUUGAAAUAGCCUGGAUAAAAAUAUGAACAAAAUGUUAGUAGUUCCUAUUUUAGAAACAAGAAAAGGGUAAAAUGUGCCUGUUUGGCAUUGUGUUUGCCUUAUGGGUAAUAGAUUUAGGAUGCAAUAAGAUUUUGGGUGCAAUGCAAGCAACUGCAGGUUAGCAAACUCAAGUCUCAUUGGUUUCCGUAGGAGUGGAAUGUAGUUACUUCUCUCCCAUGAAAAUUAAUCAGAUCUGGGGUGUGAGUUAAAGGUCACAAUCCUAAAGUUGGCAAAAAGCCCUCUGAGAAACCAUUGGGUCUGUGGGAAGAAUUGAGAUCCGUUUGUGCCCUACCAUACUCCUUAUUAUAGAUGUUGGUCAUUUACUAACAUCUGGCUUAGGGCCCUCCUAUUUACAGGACCGCCUCUCCUGGUAUGCCCCGCAGAGGACCUUAAGGUCCAUGAAUAAUCAUAGUUUAGAGGUCCCAGGCCCUAAGGAAGUCAGAUUAUCCUCCACCAGGGCCAGGGCCUUCUCAGUGAUGGCUCCGACCUGGUGGAAUGCUAUGUCCCAUGAGACCAGGGCCCUGCAGGAUUUAACUUCCUUCCGCAGGGCCUGUAAGACAGAGCUAUUCUGCCUGGCUUUCAAUUUGAACUUAGCCUGAUCUUUUAUUCCCCUUCCUUCCCUCCCCCUCCCCUUUUUAUGAAGAUUACCUGCUCUGGGAUCACACAGCUAAUUCUCUCCUGGUCUCCUUGUUGGCCCAAAUAGGACUAGUUUAGCCAGCUAGCCCUGGUGAUCAUCUAAUGUUUAUUGGCUAGAUUUCCCCCCUAAAUUGAUUUUUGAAUUCUGAAUUUAUUGUUACUGUAUAUAUGUUUUAUGCUGUAUUUUAUGCUGUUUUUUGUUGAAUCAAUUAAGUGUUUUAAAUUUGUUGUUAGCCACCCUGAGCCCGUUUUUCUGAAUCAGGAAGGGCGGGGUAUAAAUAAAAAUUUAUUAUUAUUUAUUAUUAUUACCAAUUAUUUAAUCAAUUUAUUGGUUGAUUGAUAUACCACUGAUGUUUCUAAGCAGAGGUUGGAUGGCCAUCUGUAAUGGAUGCUUUAGUUGAGUUUCCUGCAUUGCAGGGGGUCAGACUAGAUGGCCCUUGAGUCCCUUCCAACUCUAUGAUUCUAUGAGAUGCUGAAAUGGCUUCUAAGCAGUUUAGAGCUAGCUGUAAAUUUGAUCCAUGAUUAUAAUAUGCAAUGGCGUUAAAGAACCCAUAAUGGAAAUAAAUAAUAAAGCAAACAAUUGAAAAGUGAUUUGAAUUGCCACAUCCAUAGUCAACAUCAGUUGACAUCUGCACAACAUGCCCCUUCUUGGUGAUGUUGCCUUCAUCGUCCAUUGGUAGCUUCCAGCUCAGGUAUGAUAAACUGAUAACCUUCCCCAUUCAAGCUGUUCCCCUCUCUAGUUCUGCCUAUAUAUCCUUAUAUUCAAGAGGUACAGAAUUUAUUAGGUGGAGGCGUGAUAAAUGAAAAUUAGCAAUCAGUAUUAAUGAGCCUACUGUAUAUGCAAAUUCAAAAAAACGACAGCAUAUCCUGUGGUAUAAUUAUCUAACACCCUUUGCACCAUCCUAGAUAAGGAAAUAUCAGUAAUGCAUGUCUAGCUUAUGUCUCUAGAGAGAAAAGUAAAAUGUAUUUAUCCUCAGACUGACUGAAUAGGCAUGUAUUGAAAACUAACAAAGGGAUUCUGUUGAUAAUUUUUUUUCAUUCAGUGGGUUUUUUGUUUGUUUGAAGAGAAAUAAACAAAAAAAUUGAAUUACGUUGGCUAUCGUGGUACAAUAGCUGUUAUGGUUUCUCACAAAUACAAAGGAUUAAAUGACUAUCACCAUUAAAUAUAUAAAAUGAACUGAAAUGCAUGUGCCAGAAUUGUUUCACAACUUUUUUUCACUUACAAAAUAUUUUCAUUGGGUUAUAAUUGAACAGUUAAAUUGCUGUGAUAUAAUUUAUAGCAGUUAGCUGAUGUGGUUAGACUUCCUGCUUGCUGUUGUUUUUAAAAUUCACUAUGGGUUCUGUUUAAGAUAGAUGUUAGAUAGAUAGAUGAUAGAUAGAUAGAUAGAUGGUAGAUAGAUAAUAGAUGACAGAGAGAUGAGAGAGAGAGAGAGAGAGAGAGAGAGAGAGAGAGAGAGAGAGAGGUCACCACAAUCUUCACCUAGCAGUUCCAGGGGUUCCAAAUACAGUGGUAUCUCGGGUUACAUACGCUUCAGGUUACAGCCUCCGCUAACCCAGAAAUAGUGCUUCAGGUUAAGAACUUUGCUUCAGGGUGAGAAGAGAAAUCGUGCGCUCCGGCGGCGCAGCAGCAGCAGGAGGCCCCAUUAGCUAAAGUGGUGCUUCAGGUUAAGAACAGUUUCAGGUUAAGUACAGACCUCCGGAAUGAAUUAAGUACUUAACCCGAGGUACCACUGUACUUACCUAGGGUUCAUGUUUUCUUCAGAAAUUAGGCACAGCAGAGACUGUGGUGUCUUUAUGAUAUAUGGUUUUAUUUGCAAAUAUCUACAACCUGUAACUCCUCUGCUACAAUUGUUGCUACUAGCCAUCUCUGACUUCUCAUGUUUCCUCUCCUGCUGUGAGAGCUGCAGCUCAGAUUUCUGGCAAUGAGCCAUCAGGUAGUUAAGGUGCAUAGGAUCAUAGAGUUGGAAGGGAUCCCAAAGGCCAUCCAAUCCAACCCCUGGCAAUGCAGGAAUCUCAACAAGCGGUCCCCCAUCCAAUUCAAAACCAUACCCGACCCUGCUUAGCUUUGCAAAUGUGCCGGCAGUUUUAUUGCUGAACCACUUGGCAGGGCUUAACUCACUCUUCCGCUCUCACCCAGAGUGGAAGAACUGAAUUUAAGAUAGGGAAAGGGAAUUUAAGAUUGGGAAAAGGAGAAACUGGGAGAAAUUGAAGCUCACAGAUUCACCCCUUCUUUUAUUCAAUAUAAGGCAGCCUUGUGCACUUUGGCAAAUCUGUAGGCAUAUAUUUCCAUUACUGUGCCACAACCCCCCCCCAAAAAAAAAACUUCUAUCCAGCAGGAUCUAACCAAUUCAGCCAACCUAACUAUCAUGGGUCUCUCUGUGCAGAUUCUUCUGAUGAUUCCUCACUCCCACCCCUGAAUAAAACUCGGUAGGACCUUUCGUGCAUUGACAGUUUCCCUCGUCUUUCAGUUACUCAGACUGUUGCCUUUGAUAUGUCGGAAGCCAUUUCAUGUGAGAGUUCUCUCCUUCCUAGGCUUGAAUUUGAUUCUCUGAAGGAUUACUGUAGCUGUCUUUGAAGUGAGGUCAUCAUCACAACGGAAUCCUCACCAUCGAUGGUGACAACCACCAGGUUGGCUUGUGUGCUAAGCUUUCACUUCUUCUUUCUUUCUUUCUUUCUUUCCAGACCCAGACGUUUUUAGUCCCAGCCUUCAAAGAAAAGUAGGAAGAGAGGCAAAAAAGCCUCUUGCACUGUCGUUUCCUUGCACCUGUAGUUAAACUUUUCCAGCUGACAUGUCACCCUGCAAGAUGUCUUUUCAGAUUUGAUUGAAAAGAGGAGUCAGACAUCCUACUGUCGCUUAAACCUGAGCCAGUCUUCAGGGGCUUAAGGAACAUAUGAAAGAGGCAGGGAGCCUUCCUGUCUGAGCUGUGCUCCCAAAUCAUUCCCGCUAACUCUUUUGUGAGGCUGAGAUCCUUUUUCCUGCUCUGAAGCCCUUGUGCUGUUAAAAUGUUGUUCCAGAUAGGCUCCAUUAGGGGCCGACAGGGGCAUACAUCAAUCAGAUGCUUGCAAACAAAUCCGUCAGGUGUCAGCCAUAUCCAAAGUUGCAGAGAACGAGGCCCUUAUAGAUCCUUUUCGUUAAAUUGUGUGGCAUAUUUUGCAUUUAUAUCCCAGCUUUUUCUCCAAAGAGCUCCAAGGCAUACACGGUUCUUCACCUCCUUAUUUCAUCCUCACAACAGCCCUGUGAGGUAGGUUAGGCUAAGAGAUGUUGACGGGCCCAAGGUCACCCAGUGAGCUUCAUGGCUGAGUGGGGAUUUGAACCCUGGUCUCCCAGGUCCUAGUCCAACAUGCUAUACCACUAUACCACACUUGAGGCAGUGUCUUUUGUCUGCCCCACACUUGCCUCUAGGGCUUUGCAAAAUAUUCUCCCAGAAUUGGUUACAAGGUGAUUAUAAAUAUUUUCCAGAAACCCCUUUUUUUGCUCCAGUGCAGUGUUUCCUUGAUUCCUGUUUCUCCAGAUCUAGCGAGACUUGUGUGUGUUUCCUUCUGAUAGACACAUUUUGCAUUCUGUUUUGCCUAACGUAUGCAUUUUGGCAAGCCAUCUUCCAAGUCAAUGCCUUGUUGUUUUCAGUAAGAUACACACCUGAUAAACCCUCCCCCCCAAUAUAUACAUUUUUGUAUCCAUCUUUGGCAUUACAAAAUUCAGAGUGCAGCAAAUGUCAAAGAGUUGCAUGCAUGUGUUUCACACAUUCUUUCAACAAGUGUGUACAGUGGUACCUCAGUUUUUGAACGUCUCCAUUGAUGAAUGUUUCGGUUUUUGAACACCAUAAACCUGGAAGUAAAUGCUUCAGUUUUCGAACACAUCUCAGAAGUCAAACUUGAAACAUGACUUCCAUUUUGAGUUUUCCGCUUUGAGCAGGCAUAGGCAAACUCUGACCCUCCAGAUGUUUGGGACUACAAUUCCCAUCAUCCCUGACCACUGGUCCUGUUAGCUAGGGAUGAUGGGAAUUGUAGUCCCAAACAUCUGGAGGGCCGGAGUUUGCCUAUGCCUGGUUUUGAGGCUUCCGUUCUGAGCUUUCAGUUUUCGAAAGUUUUGGAAUUCAAACGGUCUUCCGAAAUGGACUACGUUUGAAAACCGAGGUACCACUGUAUUUGGCAAGACUGCACCAGUAUGUAAAGUGAAAUUAAUUUACCCUCCAUCACAUGACCUUUCUUUGCAGCCUUUGAAAUGGAAGAACAGAGAAGGUGACAGACAACUACAAGAAGCAUCCCUCGCUUUGGCUGAGGAACUAACUUUCCUUGGAUGCGAGAAAAUGACUGACAGUGGUUCAGUGCAUAACAACUUUUGUAGGACCAGCAUCAAACCCAAAUGUCCUUUCGAUACGUUAGAUGAGCCAGGG
Molecule: long non-coding RNA, 9289 nt
Filed under: Podarcis lilfordi (Lilford's wall lizard)
Lineage: Eukaryota; Metazoa; Chordata; Lepidosauria; Squamata; Lacertidae
Source: RNAcentral